Molecule: ribosomal RNA, 1651 nt
Filed under: metagenome
Description: bacterial LSU rRNA
Rfam family: Bacterial large subunit ribosomal RNA
Source: RNAcentral
CUAUUCCUGUGGUAGGAGAGCGUCGAUGACGCAGCGAAGCCGCACCGGCGAGGAGCGGUGGAGCGUCAUCGAGUGCGUAUGCCGGAACGAGUAACGACAAGAUGGGUGGGAAGCCCAUCCGCCGAAAGCACAAGGUUUCCUGGGGAAGGUCAAUCCGCCCAGGGUCAGUCGGGACCUAAGGCGAGGCCCAAGGGCGUAGCCGAUGGGCACGCGGUUAAUAUUCCGCGACCCGAUGCGAAGGUUGAUGGCAGCAGGACGCCGGGACGAGUGGGAUCGGGGCGCUAGAUACCCCCGUACCGCAAGGUCGAUGGCACUUCGAUCCAGAAGUCUCAUGACAUCCCGGCCACGAAAAGCCGCUGCCGGACGACGUAUCGGCCCGUACCGCAAUCCGACACAGGUGUGCUAGGCGAGUAUCCGAAGGCGUUCGGGAGAACCCUCGUGAAGGAACUCGGCAAAAUGACCCCGUACCUUCGGUAUAAGGGGUGCUCAUCGGGCGACCGAUGAGCCGCAGGAAUCGGCUCUAGCGACUGUUUAUCAAAAACACAGGACUCUGCCAACUCGCAAGAGGACGUAUAGAGUCUGACGCCUGCUCGGUGUCGGUAGGUUAAGGGAGCCGGUGAGCGAAAGCGAAGCUGGCGACCGAAGCCCCGAUAAACGGCGGCCGUAACUAUGACGGUCCUAAGGUACCGAAGUUCCUUGUCGGGUAAGUUCCGACCUGCAUGAAUGGCGUAACGACUGGAGCGCUGUCUCCACGAGGGACCCGGUGAAACUGUAGCCGUGGUGAAGAUGCCACGUACCCGCGGUCAGACGGAAAGACCCCGCGAACCUUUACUGCAGGUUGGCAUUGGCCCGACGUGCACUCUGUGUAGCAUAGCUGGGAGGCGACGAGGCGGGGGCGCCAGCCCUCGCGGAGCCACCGGUGAAAUACCAGCCUGAGUGGACGUCGUGCCUCACCGAGGCGUAGCCCGCCUCGGGACCAUGCUCAUCGGGCAGUUUGACUGGGGCGGUCUCCUCCCAAACGGUAACGGAGGAGUGCAACGGUGCCCUCGGCCCGGUCGGCAAUCGGGCAACGCGAGCGCAAACGUACAAGGGCGCCUGACUGCGAGUCCGAUCGGACGAGCAGGGACGAAAGUCGGCGUUAGUGAUCCGGCGGUCCGGCAUGGAACGGCCGUCGCUCAACGGAUAAAAGGUACUCCGGGGAUAACAGGCUGAUCUCCCCCGAGCGUCCCUAGCGGCGGGGAGGUUUGGCACCUCGAUGUCGGCUCAUCGCAUCCUGGGGCUGGAGAAGGUCCCAAGGGUUUGGCUGUUCGCAAAUAAAAGCGGUACGCGAGCUGGGUUCAGACCGUCGUGAGACAGGUCGGUCCCUAUCUGCCGUGGGCGUAGGAAGCUUGAGGAGCGUCUCCCCUAGUACGAGAGGAUUGGGGAGGACCGACCUCUGGUGUGCCGGCUGUCCCGCUCGGGGCAUCGCCGGGUAGCCAGGUCGGGACCGGAUAAGCGCUGAAGGCAUCUAAGCGCGAAGCCCCCUCCGAGACCAGGCUUCCGAGGGCAAUUUGCCCUGAAGGCUCCUGGAAGACGACCAGGUCGAUAGGCCGGGCGUGCACGGUCCGCGAGGACCGCAGCCGACCGGUCCUAACAGCCGAGCGGCCCGACC